UCCAGACUCCUACGGGAGGCAGCAGUGGGGAAUAUUGCACAAUGGGGGAAACCCUGAUGCAGCGACGCCGCGUGAGCGAUGAAGUAUUUCGGUAUGUAAAGCUCUAUCAGCAGGGAAGAAAAUGACGGUACCUGACUAAGAAGCCCCGGCUAACUACGUGCCAGCAGCCGCGGUAAUACGUAGGGGGCAACCGUUAUCCGGAUUUACUGGGUGUAAAGGGAGCGUAGACGGCGUGCCAAGUCUGAUGUGAAAGGCCGGGGCUCAACCCCGGGACUGCAUUGGAAACUGGCAUGCUGGAGUGCCGGAGGGGCAAGCGGAAUUCCUAGUGUAGCGGUGAAAUGCGUAGAUAUUAGGAGGAACACCGGUGGCGAAGGCGGCUUGCUGGACGGUAACUGACGUUGAGGCUCGAAAGCGUGGGGAGCAAACAGGAUUAGAUACCCCAGUA
Molecule: ribosomal RNA, 445 nt
Filed under: uncultured bacterium
Lineage: Bacteria
Description: bacterial SSU rRNA
Rfam family: Bacterial small subunit ribosomal RNA
Source: RNAcentral